Molecule: long non-coding RNA, 471 nt
Organism: Crotalus tigris (Tiger rattlesnake)
Lineage: Eukaryota; Metazoa; Chordata; Lepidosauria; Squamata; Viperidae
Exons: 2
Source: RefSeq, a predicted model, not a curated record
AGGCGACGCGGCGCUCCUUCCCUCCCUCCCUCCCAGCCAGCCAGGCAGGCAGCCGAGGGAGGCUCCGACGGCGCGGGCGAGCUCGGCCCCUUCACGCCGCCGCCAGGAGCCGCCCCUGCCGCAUUCCGGAGGGACUCCUUUGCCCCCCCCAACCCCACGCAGGAAAGCGGCGUCCGCGCGCGCUCUGGCCGCGGCCUGGUCGGAACUACUUUCGGGGCAGGCGCGCAGGCACAAAGGCGGCGCCGCUCGCGCCAGUUUGCAAAAUGCUCCACAGAUGGACCCCAUUAGCUCGCCCUACGAAUCCUUUGAAACCACAGCAGUUGUAAAUGUCUUUCUGCUCUGAAAUCUCUAGUGGAAUCCGGGAUUUUGCAGGACAGGUUCCAAAAUAUCGCGUCGUGCUUUUGAAAAUGGAAGAAUCGAAUGGCGUUUGUCAUGUAUCAAAGUCUGUUUCUCCUGGAAUAAAAGUAAAAA